Molecule: unclassified non-coding RNA, 213 nt
Filed under: uncultured fungus
Lineage: Eukaryota; Fungi
Description: sequence contains ITS1
Source: RNAcentral
UUGAUUCAUUUGUUUUGCCUUGCGGCGGAUUCAGAAAAACUGGUAGAUACAGAGUUUGGGGGUCUCCGGCGGCCGCCUGGGUCCAGGCCGCGGGCCGGCGCGGGGCCGUCCGGACGCUGGGGCGAGUCCGCCGAAGCAACGAUGGGUAUGUUCACAAAGGGUUGGGAGUUGGAAAACUCGUUAAUGAUCCCUCCGCUGGUUCACCAACGGAGA